Molecule: ribosomal RNA, 487 nt
Filed under: uncultured bacterium
Lineage: Bacteria
Description: partial 16S ribosomal RNA
Rfam family: Bacterial small subunit ribosomal RNA
Source: RNAcentral
AUUGAACGCUGGCGGCAUGCCUUACACAUGCAAGUCGAACGGCAGCACGGGUGCUUGCCCCUGGUGGCGAGUGGCGAACGGGUGAGUAAUACAUCGGAACAUGUCCUGUAGUGGGGGAUAGCCCGGCGAAAGCCGGAUUAAUACCGCAUACGAUCUACGGAUGAAAGCGGGGGACCUUCGGGCCUCGCGCUAUAGGGUUGGCCGAUGGCUGAUUAGCUAGUUGGUGGGGUAAAGGCCUACCAAGGCGACGAUCAGUAGCUGGUCUGAGAGGACGACCAGCCACACUGGGACUGAGACACGGCCCAGACUCCUACGGGAGGCAGCAGUGGGGAAUUUUGGACAAUGGGCGAAAGCCUGAUCCAGCAAUGCCGCGUGUGUGAAGAAGGCCUUCGGGUUGUAAAGCACUUUUGUCCGGAAAGAAAUCCUUGGCUCUAAUACAGUCGGGGGAUGACGGUACCGGAAGAAUAAGCACCGGCUAACUACGUGC